This 253-nucleotide ribosomal RNA is filed under the name uncultured bacterium. RNAcentral's name for it is "partial 16S ribosomal RNA". It matches the Rfam family "Bacterial small subunit ribosomal RNA", at positions 524 to 776 of the family's 1533-position model. The record is from RNAcentral.
UACGAAGGGUGCAAACGUUGCCCGGAUUUAUUGGGCGUAAAGGGCGCGUAGGCGGCCACGCACGUCCGUUGUGAAAUCGCCCGGCUCAACUGGGCGGGGUCGGCGGAUACGGCGUGGCUGGAGCAAGCUAGGGGGCAAUGGAAUUCCCGGUGUAGUGGUGGAAUGCGUAGAUAUCGGGAGGAACACCAGUGGCGAAGGCGGUUGCCUGGAGCUUUGCUGACGCUGAGGCGCGAAAGCGUGGGGAGCGAUCCGG